GACGAACGCUGGCGGCGUGCUUAACACAUGCGAGUCGAACGGAAAGGCCCUGCUUUUGUGGGGUGCUCGAGUGGCGAACGGGUGAGUAACACGUGAGUAACCUGCCCUUGACUUUGGGAUAACUUCAGGAAACUGGGGCUAAUACCGGAUAGGAGCUCCUGCUGCAUGGUGGGGGUUGGAAAGUUUCGGCGGUUGGGGAUGGACUCGCGGCUUAUCAGCUUGUUGGUGGGGUAGUGGCUUACCAAGGCUUUGACGGGUAGCCGGCCUGAGAGGGUGACCGGCCACAUUGGGACUGAGAUGCGGCCCAGACUCCUACGGGAGGGAGCAGUGGUGAAUAUGGCACAAUGGGCGGAAUCCUGAUGCAGCAACGCCGCGUGCGGGAUGACGGCCUUCGGGUUGUAAACCGCUUUCGCCUGUGACGAAGCGUGAGUGACGGUAAUGGGUAAAGAAGCACCGGCUAACUACGUG
This 468-nucleotide ribosomal RNA is filed under the name uncultured bacterium. Its description in RNAcentral is "partial 16S ribosomal RNA". It matches the Rfam family "Bacterial small subunit ribosomal RNA", at positions 28 to 507 of the family's 1533-position model. The record is from RNAcentral.